GGUGCUGUGGCUCAAGUGGUAGAGCACUUGAUUUGAGCUCAAGAGCUAAAGGACAGUGCCC
This 61-nucleotide transfer RNA is filed under the name Dipodomys ordii (Ord's kangaroo rat). The record is from Rfam by way of RNAcentral. Lineage: Eukaryota; Metazoa; Chordata; Mammalia; Rodentia; Heteromyidae.